Punica granatum (pomegranate) is the source of this 241-nucleotide non-coding RNA. The record is from RefSeq and is a predicted model, not a curated record. NCBI's taxonomy places the organism in Eukaryota, Viridiplantae, Streptophyta, Magnoliopsida, Myrtales, Lythraceae.
UGCUAAAUUUCAACAUAAUGAGAGAGCCACAGAGAGAUUGAAUGGCCGAGAGGGAAAAUGGAAAAAAAAAUGGAAAAAUAGGAAAUGAUCAGUUUUUCGAGGUUUUGAUGUUCGGGGACUUCACGGUUAAAAAUGGCGGUGGAUCAUGGCCUUUUAUCGGGAAUUUUACUCGGCCAAUCGAAUUUGUAAUUAUCUGAAUAUUCAUAAUUUGUAUGAAAAUUCAUGUGUAAUUAUCGAUUUU